AUUGAACGCUGGCGGCAGGCCUAACACCUGCAAGUCGAGCGAGCGGCGGACGGGUGAGACAUGUAUGGGGACUGCCCGAUAGAGGGGGAUAACUACUGGAAACGGUAGCUAAUACCGCAUACUAUCGGAUAACCCAUAUGGGAUUAGCUAGUAGUUGAGGUAAUGGCUCAUCUAGGCGACGAUCCCUAGCUGGUCUGAGAGGAUGAUCAGCCGCACUGUGACUGAGACACGGCCCAGACUCGAAGGGAGGCAGAAGUGGGGAAUAUUGCACAAUGGGCGCAAGCCUGAUGCAGCCAAGCCGCGUGGAUGAAGAAGGCCCUGGGGUUGUAAAGUACUUUCGGUCGUGAGGCGUUAUCGACAGAAGAAGCACCGGCUAACUCCGUGCCAGCAGCCGCGGUAAUUC
RNAcentral lists this ribosomal RNA (403 nucleotides) under uncultured bacterium. RNAcentral describes it as "partial 16S ribosomal RNA". It matches the Rfam family "Bacterial small subunit ribosomal RNA", at positions 30 to 526 of the family's 1533-position model. The record is from RNAcentral.